UGGGGAAUAUUGGACAAUGGAGGGAACUCUGAUCCAGCAAUUCUGUGUGUGUGAAGAAGGUUUUAGGACUGUAAAACACUUUUAGUAGGGAAGAAAAAAAUGACGGUACCUACAGAAGAAGCAACGGCUAAAUACAUGCCAGCAGCCGCGGUAAUACGUAUGUUGCGAGCGUUAUCCGGAAUUAUUGGGCUUAAAGGGCAUCUAGGCGGUAAGACAAGUUGAAGGUGAAAACCUGUGGCUCAACCAUAGGCUUGCCUACAAAACUGUUGAACUAGAGUACUGGAAAGGUGGGUGGAACUACACGAGUAGAGGUGAAAUUCGUAGAUAUGUGUAGGAAUGCCGAUGAUGAAGAUAACUCACUGGACAGAAACUGACGCUGAAGUGCGAAAGCUAGGGGAGCAAACAGG
RNAcentral lists this ribosomal RNA (407 nucleotides) under Verrucomicrobiota bacterium. Its description in RNAcentral is "Verrucomicrobia bacterium partial 16S ribosomal RNA". It matches the Rfam family "Bacterial small subunit ribosomal RNA", at positions 355 to 776 of the family's 1533-position model. The record is from RNAcentral. Lineage: Bacteria; Pseudomonadati; Verrucomicrobiota.